AAAGACUUAAGUUAAAAGACUCUAAGCCUUCAAAGCUUAAAGUACAGGUGAAACCCCUGUAGUCUUUG
RNAcentral lists this transfer RNA (68 nucleotides) under Holothuria poli. Its description in RNAcentral is "tRNA-Trp". It matches the Rfam family "tRNA". From Rfam's summary of the family: Transfer RNA (tRNA) molecules are approximately 80 nucleotides in length. Their secondary structure includes four short double-helical elements and three loops (D, anti-codon, and T loops). The record is from RNAcentral. Lineage: Eukaryota; Metazoa; Echinodermata; Holothuroidea; Aspidochirotida; Holothuriidae.